GAAUCGCCCUUCGGGGUGCAGCAGGCGCGAAACCUUAGCAAUGUGCGAAAGCACGACUGGGUCAGUCCGAGUGAUUCCUGAUAAAGGAGUCUUUUACUUGUCCUAAAAGCACAGGUGAAUAAGGGGUGGGCAAGUCUGGUGUCAGCCGCCGCGGUAAUACCAGCACCUCGAGUGGUCAGGACGUUUAUUGGGCCUAAAGCAUCCGUAGCCGGCUUUGCAAGUCUUCGGUUAAAUCCACCUGCUCAACAGAUGGGCCGCUGGAGAUACUACAAAGCUAGGGAGUGGGAGAGGCAGACGGUAUUCAGUGGGUAGGGGUAAAAUCCUCUGAUCCAUUGAGGACCACCAGUGGCGAAGGCGGUCUGCCAGAACACGUUCGACGGUGAGGGAUGAAAGCUGGGGGAGCAAACCGGAUUAGAUACCCGGGUAGUCCCAGCUGUAAACGAUGCAAACUCGGUGAUGCAUUGGCUUAUGGCCAAUGCAGUGCCGCAGGGAAGCCGUUAAGUUUGCCGCCUGGGAAGUACGGACGCAAGUCUGAAACUUAAAGGAAUUGGCGGGGGAGCAC
RNAcentral lists this ribosomal RNA (562 nucleotides) under uncultured archaeon. RNAcentral's name for it is "bacterial SSU rRNA". It matches the Rfam family "Archaeal small subunit ribosomal RNA", at positions 315 to 879 of the family's 1478-position model. The record is from RNAcentral.